Molecule: ribosomal RNA, 1189 nt
Filed under: Pediococcus pentosaceus
Lineage: Bacteria; Bacillati; Bacillota; Bacilli; Lactobacillales; Lactobacillaceae
Description: bacterial SSU rRNA
Rfam family: Bacterial small subunit ribosomal RNA
Source: RNAcentral
CUGAUUGAGAUUUUAACACGAAGUGAGUGGCGAACGGGUGAGUAACACGUGGGUAACCUGCCCAGAAGUAGGGGAUAACACCUGGAAACAGAUGCUAAUACCGUAUAACAGAGAAAACCGCAUGGUUUUCUUUUAAAAGAUGGCUCUGCUAUCACUUCUGGAUGGACCCGCGGCGUAUUAGCUAGUUGGUGAGGUAAAGGCUCACCAAGGCAGUGAUACGUAGCCGACCUGAGAGGGUAAUCGGCCACAUUGGGACUGAGACACGGCCCAGACUCCUACGGGAGGCAGCAGUAGGGAAUCUUCCACAAUGGACGCAAGUCUGAUGGAGCAACGCCGCGUGAGUGAAGAAGGGUUUCGGCUCGUAAAGCUCUGUUGUUAAAGAAGAACGUGGGUAAGAGUAACUGUUUACCCAGUGACGGUAUUUAACCAGAAAGCCACGGCUAACUACGUGCCAGCAGCCGCGGUAAUACGUAGGUGGCAAGCGUUAUCCGGAUUUAUUGGGCGUAAAGCGAGCGCAGGCGGUCUUUUAAGUCUAAUGUGAAAGCCUUCGGCUCAACCGAAGAAGUGCAUUGGAAACUGGGAGACUUGAGUGCAGAAGAGGACAGUGGAACUCCAUGUGUAGCGGUGAAAUGCGUAGAUAUAUGGAAGAACACCAGUGGCGAAGGCGGCUGUCUGGUCUGCAACUGACGCUGAGGCUCGAAAGCAUGGGUAGCGAACAGGAUUAGAUACCCUGGUAGUCCAUGCCGUAAACGAUGAUUACUAAGUGUUGGAGGGUUUCCGCCCUUCAGUGCUGCAGCUAACGCAUUAAGUAAUCCGCCUGGGGAGUACGACCGCAAGGUUGAAACUCAAAAGAAUUGACGGGGGCCCGCACAAGCGGUGGAGCAUGUGGUUUAAUUCGAAGCUACGCGAAGAACCUUACCAGGUCUUGACAUCUUCUGACAGUCUAAGAGAUUAGAGGUUCCCUUCGGGGACAGAAUGACAGGUGGUGCAUGGUUGUCGUCAGCUCGUGUCGUGAGAUGUUGGGUUAAGUCCCGCAACGAGCGCAACCCUUAUUACUAGUUGCCAGCAUUAAGUUGGGCACUCUAGUGAGACUGCCGGUGACAAACCGGAGGAAGGUGGGGACGACGUCAAAUCAUCAUGCCCCUUAUGACCUGGGCUACACACGUGCUACAAUGGAUGGUACAACGAG